RNAcentral lists this unclassified non-coding RNA (340 nucleotides) under plant metagenome. RNAcentral describes it as "partial contains small subunit ribosomal RNA, internal transcribed spacer 1, and 5.8S ribosomal RNA". The record is from RNAcentral.
UUUCCGUAGGUGAACCUGCGGAAGGAUCAUUAACAAAUUCCAAAACACGCGUGUUUGAUCUUGUGUGUUGUGACAGUAGUAGUAGUAGUAGUAGUGGUAAUGGUAGUGUUCUAGUGGCUUGUAGGUCGAAUUCAAACAGGGUGUCCCCAUGCAGAGCCAUUUUGUCGAUCUUUUGCACUAGAGUAGUCUUAUUAUUAUUAGUAGUAGUAUGCGCCUCUGCUGUCAUGACGCCUAGAUCAUGAUAUACAACACACACAACACUCACAUUUAUAAACGACAACCAAGAGUAACCUAAAACGUUAAAUCGAAACAACUUUUAACAAUGGAUCUCUCGGCUCUU